GCUGCCGAAGCUACGUUCGCGGGAAGUCUAACCGCUUGAAGCACGUUGCAGAGUCGAGACCAGUUGAGCGGCCGGAAUUUUACGAACGAUUAUGCAAGCGUACGUCUUGAGGACGACCAUGAGCCACAUAUCAUCUCAAAUUUCUCCCCGUCAAGCCUUGUGACGAAACGGAAUCGGACUUCUUCAAGGCGAGGAUCCUAAAGUUGUUUGGAUCGCAGAGUGACGCGGAAACCCAGUGACAGUAAGCGGGUGCUAGUACCUCCGACGAGAUGAGUGACUGCCCGGGAGGGCUGGAGGAAGCUUUUAUGAGACAGAUGGCCUCCUUGGCGGAUUGUGACCGGCAGACCUUCAAACCGCACAAAGGCUAAGCAAAGCCACAACUGGAUGCAGCAAGACUAAAAGCUUUAUAAUAUACUGUAAGGACUAUGGCUUUAUAAUAAGCCUUUUAUAGCAAAACAUACUGAUCUGAAAAGCGUUGUUUGUGGUUAUUUUAAAGUGGUAUACGGAAACUUCGUCGUAUUGUAUUAAUUCUGGUUCACUGCACAGUUAAAAGGUUUGUCUUCGUUUGCUGCCAGAGAAAUAUAGCUUGCGAUGAACUAAAUCAAAGUUAUGACUGCUGGUGUGGUGUACAUAUUCAGAACUUUUUUUUAUUAAAAUAAUUGUAAUCAAGUGUUUUUAUGGGUUUUAGCACUGUGAUUAAGAUACGUCAAUGUGUUUUCUAAGAAAGACUACUAAUUUGCAGUUUGUAUCUUCUCCUAAAAUAUUUUGUAGAUCUGAGCAUGUAUUCAUACCUGAAUAUGUGCCAGGCAUUCCCCAGUAUGUGUAUAAUUGUUUACUAGGCCUGUAAGCUUCCCCACUACAUCAUUGCCGCUAUGUUAGCGCUUCCCAGCUAUUAUUCGAGAGAGAUAAGUGUUUCUCAUGAUCAAUUAGGUUGAGAUUGUUUAGCGUUAAUGUUUUUGAGUCCCCCAUUUUUAAUUCCUGACAGAGCGCUUCAAUGUCCGUUUAUUUUUGGUUUGCCGCUAUUUAUCACCACAAGCAAAAACAUCACGCCACUGGGAUUAACCUGAAGCUCACCUCAUGAUUAACGACGCUGCCGUCCACUGUCUUAAGGUGGGCCUACGUUCAUGGGUACUUGUCUAGUGGUUCUGGAGUUGAUGUUGCUGAGAUAACCGAGACGCCGAUUUCUACGAUGGCCUCUGUCAGCAUCAUGGUCAAUUACAGCUGGCCCGAGCCCGAACCAGGCCAAUCAAUGUGCUGGCCCGAACCAGGCCAAUCAACGUGCUGGCCCAAGCCCGGCCCGGGCCCACAGUCAAAAGUCCGAGCCCAUCCCAGGCCUGGGCUUUCGGCUCAGCAAAGUCUGCGGAUCUGGUUAUGCUUCCUGUACGAGAC
RNAcentral lists this long non-coding RNA (1389 nucleotides) under Ixodes scapularis (black-legged tick). RNAcentral's name for it is "uncharacterized LOC115327936, transcript variant X2". The record is from RNAcentral. Lineage: Eukaryota; Metazoa; Arthropoda; Arachnida; Ixodida; Ixodidae.